This 460-nucleotide ribosomal RNA is filed under the name uncultured bacterium. Its description in RNAcentral is "partial 16S ribosomal RNA". It matches the Rfam family "Bacterial small subunit ribosomal RNA", at positions 338 to 795 of the family's 1533-position model. The record is from RNAcentral.
CCUACGGGGUGCAGCAGUGAGGAAUAUUGGUCAAUGGGCGCAGGCCUGCACCAGCCUAGUCGCGUGAGGGAAGACUUCCCUAUGGGUUGUAAACCUCUUUUAUAAGGGAAGAAUAAUGACUACGUGUAGUCAGAUGCCCGUACCAUAUGAAUAAGGAUCGGCUAACUCCGUGCCAGCAGCCGCGGUCAUACGGAGGCUCCGAGCGUUAUCCGGAUUUAUUGGGUUUAAAGGGAGCGUAGGUGGAUUGUUAAGUCAGGUGUGGAAGUUUGCGGCUCAACCGUAAAAUUGUAGUUGAAACUGGCAGUCUUGAGUACAGUAGAGGUGGGCGGAAUUCGUGGUGUAGCGGUGAAAUGCGUAGAUAUCACGAAGAACUCCGAUUGCGAAGGCAGCUCACUGGACUGCAACUGACACUGAGGCUCGAAAGUGUGGGUAUCAAACAGGAUUAGAUACCCUAGUAGUC